UUCUGCCCUAUGAUUAUUUAAAUGGCUGCAGUAUCCUGACUGUGCAAAGGUAGCAUAAUAAUUAGUCUUUUAAUUGGAGGCUUGUAUGAAUGAUUACAUGAGAGAUUAUUUUUAUUAAUUUUAUGGUUAUAAUUUAAUUUUUAAGUAAGAAAGCUUAAUUUUGUUUUAGGGACGAUAAGACCCUAUAGAACUUUAUUUUUAUUUUAAUUUUAAUUUUUAUAGAUUUUUAAUUAUUUAUGAUUUAUCUAAAUUUUUUGUUGGGAGGACAAAUAAAUCCUAUUACUUUAUUUUUUGUAUUCAUUUAUUGAGUGUUCAUUUUGAUCCAUUUUAUAAUGAUUUUAAGAUUAAGUUACCUUAGGGAUAACAGCGUAAUUUUAAUGGGGAGUUCAUAUUUAUAUUAGAGUUUGCGACCUCGAUGUUGAAUUAAGAUAAGAUUAUGGGGCAG
This 445-nucleotide ribosomal RNA is filed under the name Pachitea ryma. Its description in RNAcentral is "partial large subunit ribosomal RNA". Lineage: Eukaryota; Metazoa; Arthropoda; Insecta; Hemiptera; Cicadellidae. The record is from RNAcentral.